Molecule: long non-coding RNA, 2590 nt
Organism: Mus musculus (house mouse)
Lineage: Eukaryota; Metazoa; Chordata; Mammalia; Rodentia; Muridae
Product: predicted gene, 31251
Exons: 8
Source: RefSeq, a predicted model, not a curated record
CAGCAGGUCACAAUCAUGCCGUGCUGACUGCAGUGCGUGGGCCAGCGCGUUCUUGGCCUGGGAAGAGGUGCAAACAGGCAUCAGGAAGUUUUCCUUGAGAUUACCACACUAUAAGAGUUUGUAGUAAGUUGUGGACCAGACAAGCCUCACUCUUAGAGAAGAAAGAGACCCAUAUUCUGGCCAAUUGGUGCACUCUAUGCUUUGUCCAGACACAGAGUCUAGGCCUUACCUUGACCUCCUCCUCCAGUUGCCUCUUGAGGUCCUCCAGCUGCUGUGUAUAUGUGAGCUUGCCUCGGGUUAGCUGAGAGAUCAGAGCCUCCUUCUCGUCCAGCUGCCGGGACAGCUCCCCUGGGGAGGCACCAAGCUUGGCCCGCUGGCUGGUGAGGUCAUUGACAGAACGCUGCGUCUCCUCGGCCUUGCUCCGGUGCUCAUUCAUCUGGUCUUCCAAGGUCCGGCACAUCUUCUCCAGCUUCUGCUUCACCCGCUGGAGGUUGUCGAUCUGCUCGCCCAGCUCCGCCACGCUGUCGGCAUGCUUCUUGCGCAGGGCCGCCGCCGUGGCCUCGUGCUGCAGCGUGGCCUCCUCCAGGUCCCGCCGCAUCUUCUGGAACUCGGCCUCGCGCUUCUUGUUCAUCUCUAUCUGCACGGAUGUGGCCCCGCCUGCCUCCUCCAGCCUUUCACUGAUCUCCUCCAGCUCCCGGGACAGGUCAGAGCGCAGCUUCUCCACCUUGGCCCGGGCUGUGCGCUCGGCCUCCAGCUCCUCCUCCAGCUCCUCGAUGCGUGCCUAGCCAGGGACACAGAGGGUCAGACCUGCUUCCUGCACCCCUCCAUUGAGGCCGGCCCUGGAGCUCUAAAAGAUCCCUGGUCUAUGAGAACAGCACGUCCAUGAUGCUCUCCUGCGUCAGCUUCAGGUCUCCCUCCAGCUUCCGCUUGGCUCGCUCUAGGUCCAUGCGCACCUUCUUCUCCUGCUCCAGGGAUCCCUCCAGCUGGCAGAGAGAAGGACCAGCCAUGAACCACAAGUGCCGUCUGGUUCCGCCUGCUCCUCCCGCUGCUUCUGCUUGAACUUCAUGUUUCCAAAGUGCAUGAUGGCGCCUGUCAGCUUGUAAAUGGAGUUCUUCUCUUCUGGAGUGAAGCCCAGCACGUCAAAGGCGCUCUGGAAGCAGCCCCCAUAUCAGUGAAGCCCAGAAAAGGAAGUGUGACCAGUUAAUGAGACCCGCAUACACUGGAGAGAGAACCUGAAUUUGUUUUCCUAUCCCCUGUAAAGUAUGAGAUUCCCACAAGCAGAGAGAGACUCCAAAACACAGACAGACAUUAAAGAUCAGGGCCUUAUCACCAUCCACUGUGAAUGCUCAUAGCUGUUCUCUGUAGCUGCUGUGGGCUACCCGCCUAUGUUCCUAUAUCUUUCCCUGCCUAGGUUUUGGUACCCGUGUGUAUCUCUCCUCUACCCAACAGCUCACUUCAGCCCCCAGGGUCUGCAGGGCUCUCCUUCCUGUAUCCCUAGUAGUGUGGUUUUGUUUCUUUCCUGUCUCUGUCCAUGGUUCUCAGCACACUGUGAUUUGACAACACCAAAUAUUGGCUUCAUAGCACGUGUCUUAGCAUACCCUGUUCACGGGGUAGAUCUCCAGGAGGGUUGUACCACUUUAAAAAUCAGAUAGCCAGUAUCUUGGCUCUGUUCCUAAGCUGGUACCAUGUGCCACGACCAAGUGUCUGCCCGUAGCUGAGAACUCGCAUACUUACAUCCGUGGCCAUGAGCUCUUCAGAGUCAUCAAUGGAGGCCACAGUCGUCUCUCCUUGGGAGAUGAACGCAUAAUCGUAGGGGUUGUUGGUGAUCAGCAGCAUGUCUACAAGUGGAAGGAAUGUGGUUCGGGUGUGCCACAGCCCCUGGCUAUCCUGGGGGCUGCUGGCUAUAGCAAACAGGCCAAGAGAGAGGCUCAGAUAGGGCUUGAUUUGACCCCCAAGAUUGAACCUAGCAGUAUCAUAGGGCCCAAGGCAUACUGCCUGAACCCAGUCUUAAGCAGAGAGGACCAGGUUGCCAUGGAAAUAGCUGGUCUCAGUCUGACUCACCUAGAAGCUCAGGCUUUUUAUUAGACAGGAUUUGGUAGAAAAUGUGAUAAUCUCUUUCUGCUUUCAGCUGGAAAAUAACCCUGGAUUUUUCCAGAAGGUCUGUGAACAGGCAGAUAGGAGAGGAAUGAGAUGCCAACUUUCCUGUUGCCCCAAAAUGGAUUCGGAUGAAUUUCCCCUGAAGAGAUGGAUGGGAGAGAGAAGCAAUGAGCCUGGGAAAGGCUCACAUUUGAGGCCAUCCUUCGAAAGCCAGCACAAGUCCCAAGUUCAAGGUGGAGUAUCACUCACAAAUCGAGAGGAGUUGUCAUUCCGAACUGUCUUGGCAUUGCCAAAGGCCUCCAGAGCAGGGUUGGCUUGGAUGAUUUGAUCUUCCAGGGUACCCUGGAAGAGGUCAAGAAGGAUGGGAUAUGAAGGCUGCCUACUCUUUUUCUGUAAUGCAAGCCUUUACAUGACAGCGGGCCUACCUUGCCUGGGGUCUGGUCCUUCUUGCUGCGGUCCCCAAUGGCGGCAAUAACAGCAAAAUAUUGGAUGA